CUGCACCUUGGCGUCCAGCGUCCUCUUCAGCUCCACCAUAUAGGAGUACUGCUCCGGAUAGAUGUAUUCAUAGGGGAAAUAGACCAGUAAACCAUCUAUAUUCAGCCUGGAGAAGAACCACACAGUAUAUAUAGAGCAGACUCCGCCUCCUUCGGUCCGGCCCCGCCCCCCGGGCUCGCCGUAAAGUUGGUCGUUAGUCUCCGGCACGAGAUCAGGACGGGGAAGCAGCCAUUGUUUGUUUCUGGAAGUUCGACCAAUAGGAAACGACUCAGGAGUCAUGUGACCGCGCGACCCGUGACCCCCGCGACGCGGUUGUCGACUAGAGAGGAGUCUUCGGAAAAAUGGCUGCGCACCGCCAGCAAAGCAUGAUGGGUAGAGAGCAACAUGUGAUCAUUUAUCUGACCUACAAAAACCGAUUAUCUGGGUGUGGGAGGCGAGGAAUAAACUGGAAUCAGAUAUGGAAAGGUUUGUGCUUCUCCUUCCCAUAAAAUGAAGAUGUUGUCCUCAAAGUUAAGUGUAUUGUCCCACCACGGAGCAGAUCCUGAUAUGACACAAACUGCACCCAUCGCAGUCCCCAAAGGUUAAGGAGGAAUUUACCACCAAACUAAAAACAGUAAAGUGAGCGCCAAAGUAAACUGCAGGAAAUGUAAAAUAAACAGAUUGUGUUAGCUGAGGUGCGGCUGCUUGUCUCAUUGCGUAGGGUGCCAAUAUGUGCCGGGUGCCAAUAUGUGCC
Long non-coding RNA from Hyla sarda, 733 nucleotides. RefSeq lists it as uncharacterized. Lineage: Eukaryota; Metazoa; Chordata; Amphibia; Anura; Hylidae. The record is from RefSeq and is a predicted model, not a curated record. The transcript is spliced from 3 exons.